Molecule: non-coding RNA, 72 nt
Organism: Canis lupus familiaris (dog)
Lineage: Eukaryota; Metazoa; Chordata; Mammalia; Carnivora; Canidae
Source: Rfam
GCUCUGAUGAUUAGACUCCUUGUUUAUUGAACCUGAUGACAACAUUCAUUCCUACAAAGAGAAUGCGGGGUU